Molecule: ribosomal RNA, 495 nt
Filed under: uncultured bacterium
Lineage: Bacteria
Description: partial 16S ribosomal RNA
Rfam family: Bacterial small subunit ribosomal RNA
Source: RNAcentral
GAUGAACGCUGGCGGCGUGCCUAAUACAUGCAAGUCGAGCGAACAGACGAGGAGCUUGCUCCUCUGACGUUAGCGGCGGACGGGUGAGUAACACGUGGAUAACCUGCCUAUAAGACUGGGAUAACUUCGGGAAACCGGAGCUAAUACCGGAUAAUAUAUUGAACCGCAUGGUUCAAUAGUGAAAGACGGUUUUGCUGUCACUUAUAGAUGGAUCCGCGCCGCAUUAGCUAGUUGGUAAGGUAACGGCUUACCAAGGCAACGAUGCGUAGCCGACCUGAGAGGGUGAUCGGCCACACUGGAACUGAGACACGGUCCAGACUCCUACGGGAGGCAGCAGUAGGGAAUCUUCCGCAAUGGGCGAAAGCCUGACGGAGCAACGCCGCGUGAGUGAUGAAGGUCUUCGGAUCGUAAAACUCUGUUAUUAGGGAAGAACAAAUGUGUAAGUAACUAUGCACGUCUUGACGGUACCUAAUCAGAAAGCCACGGCUAACUACG